Molecule: unclassified non-coding RNA, 149 nt
Filed under: Brucella sp. 191011898
Lineage: Bacteria; Pseudomonadati; Pseudomonadota; Alphaproteobacteria; Hyphomicrobiales; Brucellaceae
Description: BASRCI153
Source: RNAcentral
GCAUUUUCGAGCCAAAAGUGUGAAACGCCUACGCGGGGAAAUCAGUCCAGCGGACUGAUUUCCAACCCCGUUUCAAUGCGUUGAAAAAUGCGGCAAAACAAAUAGUUAGAGCGGUUUGGCAAUGGGAAUUGCCUGGCGCUCCGGCAAGG